GUUGAACUAAUAUGUCCAAAAACCACCUACACCAAAUUCCUCCAAGUUCCAAACCCAACACUGUUAAUACCCCUCUCUUAUUUUGCCCACCACAGCCCAUGGCCACUGAAGACUUCAGCUUCCCCACAUUCACCGACACCACCUCCUCCGCCAUCGACUCUCCGCCUCUUUGGCGGUUGUCUCCGGCAGCCUCUCCUGAUUCUUGCCAUAGAAUCACUAAAACAGAAGAAGAAGAAGAAGAAGUUGGAGAUGAUGUGUACCUGGCUGCCUGCUGAUGAAAUGUAGGCUGCUGCUAAGUGGUGGGCGUUUAUUGGUGUGGCAUGUAUGUCCUAAUAUUUAUUUAAAUGGGCCGAUUUUAAUGGAUUGAUGGUUAUUGGGCUAAACUUAAUUUAGAGAUAAUAUAUUUUAUUAAUACUUUUUUUGCAUGUAUUUUUUUAAAUUUUAUUUUUCAUAAAAUAAAAAAAUAUAAAUUAUAGUUAUAAAAUUCAAUUUAAAUUAUUUUAAAUUAUGUUUAAUAAGAUUUUAUUAAAUUACAUAUGCAGUAAAAAUUAAAUUACAAAGCAAUUAUAUUUGAUUUUUAAUAAUAUUUAUCCAAGCCACCAUGUUUAAAUUUUGAUCCAUCUCCCGUAUUUUCCAUAUAGGAAGCUCACAAGUUGACACAUGGAUAUUUAUCCAUUUCUGACACCUGUACCCAAGUCCGAGUAACAUUGGUUCAACCUUUCUAAGUGAAAAAAAAUUAUUCACACAGUGAUCUAACUUGAGUGAGCUCUAAGUCGUACUAUUUUCAACCAUAACUAAACACAAGCAAGCAAUCAAUCAACACAUCAAGGAUAAAACGAGCAAAAGAGGAAUAAUUCUUCCCAUCUGCGAUGGAAAUUCUUUAAAAUAAACACACUGAGCACAAACAAUCCUUCCACUACAAGUUACAUAGGACAUCCUUUUCCAACCUUCCUUUAAUGAAAAUGGUCCUUUAGAAGGAGAAUUUUUUGUGAAAAUAUGGACCGUUCACUUUAUUUAGCCAUACAAGGGCUUUAGCUAAUCUACAGGAAUUUUAAGAACUAAAUUCAAGAAGCCUAACAAAACCAAAUAAGAUCAUUUUUGUGCUUACCUCCAAAACAACUACUCCAAGAG
Molecule: unclassified non-coding RNA, 1131 nt
Filed under: Hevea brasiliensis (rubber tree)
Lineage: Eukaryota; Viridiplantae; Streptophyta; Magnoliopsida; Malpighiales; Euphorbiaceae
Source: RNAcentral